CGGGACGUGGCCUAGGGGCUAGGGCACCCGGUUUGGGACCGGAAGAUCGAGGGUUCAAAUCCCUCCGUCCCGA
This 73-nucleotide transfer RNA is filed under the name Treponema pallidum. Its description in RNAcentral is "tRNA-Pro". It matches the Rfam family "tRNA". From Rfam's summary of the family: Transfer RNA (tRNA) molecules are approximately 80 nucleotides in length. Their secondary structure includes four short double-helical elements and three loops (D, anti-codon, and T loops). Lineage: Bacteria; Pseudomonadati; Spirochaetota; Spirochaetia; Treponematales; Treponemataceae. The record is from RNAcentral. RNAcentral also lists the same sequence under 16 other names.